Beta vulgaris subsp. vulgaris (sugar beet) is the source of this 2670-nucleotide long non-coding RNA. RefSeq lists it as uncharacterized. The transcript is spliced from 2 exons. Lineage: Eukaryota; Viridiplantae; Streptophyta; Magnoliopsida; Caryophyllales; Amaranthaceae. The record is from RefSeq and is a predicted model, not a curated record.
UUGGAAUUUAUCUAGUCUUCAAUAUUUAUAGUGAUAAUCACAAAGAACGUGGAAUUAAAACUUGAUUACAUGAUAAGUCCAUUAACCCAUGAUGUUCUUUCCCCUAAGGAACACGUUUCUCAUCAUGUCCCAUGAUCCCAUGAUCUCAAUAUGAACGUGGAUAUAUUUUAGCCACUACUCCUAAGUAAUAGGAGUUCCUUGAGCUUUAUCCGAAAAUCAGUUUUAUAAAAACAACUUUUAUCUUUAAAACUGAAUUUUUAAUAUUUAAGAAAAUAAUAUCUUUUAAACAAAUUCUUUCUAAAACCGGAUAUUUAUUUUCUUUAUUUUUCCGAAAAACAAAAUCUUUUUCUUAAAUGGAUUUUCUUUUUAAAACUGAUUUUAUCAUUUGAAAUUAGAUAAAACUAAUUGCCUAUAAUUUAGGCAUGAUUUACUCAAUUUCACAAUUAUACCUUUAUACUUUUGCACUCCUAAGUCUAGUUCCUUUUAUAAACUAAGUUCCUUUAACAGAUUCAUUUAGUGCCACUUAGUUUGCGCCUUACAAAGGAACAAACUCUCAUUCUCAAAUAAAACUGCCACUGUUCCUUACCCAUGCUUACUUUGUUCCUUUACACUGGAACUAGAAAAUAAAACGCCUAACUUUUAUUCUUCUUGAUCCAAUGCUUGCUCCAGUAUCAACUUAUAGAAACUUCUUUACUUAGCCUUUGAAAUCAUCUCUUGACUUCUUCCUUGACUUCGUAUUCUCCCAGUUCCUUUCAUUGAUACCUUAAACAUCAUACACUCAUAGAAACUCAUUAGUUCACUACUUAGUUUGCAUCUUUGUUUCUUUGUCAUCAUCAAAACUAGGGUUCAACAAUUUCCCCCCUUUUUGAUGAUGACAACAAAGGUACAAACUAAGGACAAUAACAAAUAAUAUAAGUGAAUGAUAAUGAUAAAAUAAUAAAGAAGAAAAUGAAAAAUAAAACACAAUUAUGUAAGUAAUUAUAUUUUGAUUUUUCAUUCACCUCAACCUAUGUUUGGUUUUUCAUUUACCUUAUCCAAUUUUUUAAUUUUUUUUUAAUUUUUUUUUAAUUUAUGUACAGUUUGUUCCUUGGACAGAUCAUGGUGACUUUGGCCAUAAGAAAAAAGAAUUUGUGAAGUUGUUUGUUUUUGCUACGAAUCAUGACAGGACAGGAAGAUAAACUGGAUUCUCUAAUACUUGGAACAAGUUAGCAAGCAUGUGAGCAUCUUUGAUGGGGAGGAGGGAUUAUUUAUUGCUCGUUACUUUUGUAGAGCCAUUCUAGCUAUAAAAUUUCUAAAGUAAAGUGCUUUAUCCUUGGUUUAGUGAGUUGCGUUUAGCAUGUCCAUGUAAGUUCUAUUGACUAUCAAUCUAGAAAUAAUAGCAAACAAUAAUAGAAUAUCAAAUAAUAAAGCUAGAAAGAACACACCAGGAAUUUUACGUGGAAACCCAAGAACUGGGAGAAAAACCACGAAUCUGCACUAGGAAUCGAUGAAUAUUCAAGAAAGAUUACAAAAAGCGCUCAAGAACUCUCUCUAUAGCCUUUUCUCUCUCUAAUAUGUGUUUAAAGAUGACACUAGUAGAAUAAAUGCUAUUUGCUGCAGUGAUAUUGCUGCGAUUUUACCUAUACGCAGCAAUAUAACACGCAAAAAAAAAGAAAAAAUAGAAAUUAGCAAUAUUGCUGCGGUUCCCGCCCAAAACCGCAGCAAUAUUGUCUAACAGACACUUUUUAAAAAUAAUGUGGGGCCCUGAACAACAAAUAUUGCUGCGAUUUCCACGUAGGACCGCAGCAAUAUAUUAAAAAAAUAUUUUUUUUAACUAUAUUGCUGCGGUCCUACGUGGCAACCGCAGCAAUAUAUGCUGAACUAACCAAAAAAUAAACGGGCGCCUGUUGAAAUUAUAAAACACAACAUUAGAAUUUUUCUUUCACUCCUGUCAAGAGAGGCGCCUCUCUGUCCUCUCUCUCUCCUCCUCUUUCCUCUCUCUCUCUCCUCUCUCCUCUCUCCCAGUCGUUCGUUUUCCCUCACCUUCUCUCUCCUCUCAGCCUUCGUUUUCUCUCACCCUCCCUCCUCACUCACCGUCGCCACCCUCGCUCGACACAACAAAGCCUCACUCAAUCGUCGUUCGUCGAGAUGCGGGAUGCGGAAGGUUGAUGCGAGAGAUCUUCACUCAAACUUGUUGAUGCGAGAAUUCGUGGUGGUGGUUUUCUCGAGCCGCUUUCGUUCUCCUCUUCGCCGGUCGAUCGUUCUCCUCUUCGCCGGUGGUCGAUCGUUCGUCUCUGGUAGCCUCCAACAGAUCUAGUUGCGUUGAUUACGAUUUGUCGAGUGCUGAAGAGGUUUUCGUUGGGUUGAUUCAUUCUGUUCUUCGUGGGUUCACCUGGUGAGGAUGAAGACUCGCUCGUGCACUCGUCGUUCUAAUUCGUUGUUCCUCAAAAAUCUCCAGAUUCUUUUUUCUGCAUUUUUAUUUUUUGAGAUUCAAUAUAGUAUUAGGUUCUGAUUUUUGGUUAUUUUUGUAAUAUUUUUCUUUUGAAUCUCUUUUCUUAUGUGUUGUAUUUUUUGUGUAUUUUUUUUGUUUUUGAAUUUUGUGUAUCUCUUCUGUUUUUGAGUAUUUUUCUUUUGAUGUUAGUUUCGAACUUAUGUCUUUAUUAUUUGAGAAAUUUUAAUUUGUUGUGUUUA